Molecule: unclassified non-coding RNA, 353 nt
Filed under: uncultured fungus
Lineage: Eukaryota; Fungi
Description: partial contains 5.8S ribosomal RNA, internal transcribed spacer 2, and large subunit ribosomal RNA
Source: RNAcentral
AACGCAUAUUGCGCCUUUUGGUAUUCCGGAAGGCAUGCUUGUUUGAGUAUCAGUAAUAACCCCUCAGCUUUUACUACGACACCCUUGGUGUUGAAAGCUGGAUUUGAGCAAUGUUUUCCCUCAAGCUUUUUGGGGGAUGCUCGAAAUACAUGGUUCGGCCGUACAAGGUUUGUGGGCUACAAGCAUUCAUACUUAAUCCCGUAGAACGGAUUAUAACCUUUGCUCAAGCCAAUCAUCACAACUCGUAUGUUGCUCGACUGAUGCAGGAACGCGUGUUUUUCUCUCGUCUUUUGGACGAAAGAUGGACAUUGAACCUCGAUCUCAAAUCAAGUAAGACUACCCGCUGAACUUAA